Molecule: unclassified non-coding RNA, 520 nt
Filed under: uncultured Glomus
Lineage: Eukaryota; Fungi; Glomeromycota; Glomeromycetes; Glomerales; Glomeraceae
Description: SSU rRNA
Rfam family: Eukaryotic small subunit ribosomal RNA
Source: RNAcentral
AGCAGCCGCGGUAAUUCCAGCUCCAAUAGCGUAUAUUAAAGUUGUUGCAGUUAAAAAGCUCGUAGUUGAAUUUCGGGAUCAGUUGGUCGGUCGUGCCUCGGUACGUACUGGUCAAAUUGAUUCCUACCUUCUGACGAACCACGAUGUCAUUAAUUUGGUGUCGCGGGAAAUCAGGACUGUUACUUUGAAAAAUUAGAGUGUUUAAAGCAGGCUCGCGCUUGAAUACAUUAGCAUGGAAUAAUGAAAUAGGACGUUUGAUUCUAUUUUGUUGGUUUCUAGGAUCGACGUAAUGAUUAAUAGGGAUAGUUGGGGGCAUUAGUAUUCAAUUGUCAGAGGUGAAAUUCUUGGAUUUAUUGAAGACUAACUACUGCGAAAGCAUUUGCCAAGGAUGUUUUCAUUAAUCAAGAACGAAAGUUAGGGGAUCGAAGACGAUCAGAUACCGUCGUAGUCUUAACCAUAAACUAUGCCGACUAGGGAUCGGAUGAUGUUAAUUUUUUAAUGUACUCAUUCGGCGCCUUAC